UCAUUUAAAGAAAGCGUAAUAGCUCACUGGUCGAGUCGGCCUGCGCGGAAGAUGUAACGGGGCUAAACCAUGCACCGAAGCUGCGGCAGCGACGCUUAUGCGUUGUUGGGUAGGGGAGCGUUCUGUAAGCCUGCGAAGGUGUGCUGUGAGGCAUGCUGGAGGUAUCAGAAGUGCGAAUGCUGACAUAAGUAACGAUAAAGCGGGUGAAAAGCCCGCUCGCCGGAAGACCAAGGGUUCCUGUCCAACGUUAAUCGGGGCAGGGUGAGUCGACCCCUAAGGCGAGGCCGAAAGGCGUAGUCGAUGGGAAACAGGUUAAUAUUCCUGUACUUGGUGUUACUGCGAAGGGGGGACGGAGAAGGCUAUGUUGGCCGGGCGACGGUUGUCCCGGUUUAAGCGUGUAGGCUGGUUUUCCAGGCAAAUCCGGAAAAUCAAGGCUGAGGCGUGAUGACGAGGCACUACGGUGCUGAAGCAACAAAUGCCAUGCUUCCAGGAAAAGCCUCUAAGCAUCAGGUAACAUCAAAUCGUACCCCAAACCGACACAGGUGGUCAGGUAGAGAAUACCAAGGCGCUUGAGAGAACUCGGGUGAAGGAACUAGGCAAAAUGGUGCCGUAACUUCGGGAGAAGGCACGCUGAUAUGUAGGUGAAGCGACUUGCUCGUGGAGCUGAAAUCAGUCGAAGAUACCAGCUGGCUGCAACUGUUUAUUAAAAACACAGCACUGUGCAAACACGAAAGUGGACGUAUACGGUGUGACGCCUGCCCGGUGCCGGAAGGUUAAUUGAUGGGGUCAGCGCAAGCGAAGCUCUUGAUCGAAGCCCCGGUAAACGGCGGCCGUAACUAUAACGGUCCUAAGGUAGCGAAAUUCCUUGUCGGGUAAGUUCCGACCUGCACGAAUGGCGUAAUGAUGGCCAGGCUGUCUCCACCCGAGACUCAGUGAAAUUGAACUCGCUGUGAAGAUGCAGUGUACCCGCGGCAAGACGGAAAGACCCCGUGAACCUUUACUAUAGCUUGACACUGAACAUUGAGCCUUGAUGUGUAGGAUAGGUGGGAGGCUUUGAAGUGUGGACGCCAGUCUGCAUGGAGCCGACCUUGAAAUACCACCCUUUAAUGUUUGAUGUUCUAACGUUGACCCGUAAUCCGGGUUGCGGACAGUGUCUGGUGGGUAGUUUGACUGGGGCGGUCUCCUCCUAAAGAGUAACGGAGGAGCACGAAGGUUGGCUAAUCCUGGUCGGACAUCAGGAGGUUAGUGCAAUGGCAUAAGCCAGCUUGACUGCGAGCGUGACGGCGCGAGCAGGUGCGAAAGCAGGUCAUAGUGAUCCGGUGGUUCUGAAUGGAAGGGCCAUCGCUCAACGGAUAAAAGGUACUCCGGGGAUAACAGGCUGAUACCGCCCAAGAGUUCAUAUCGACGGCGGUGUUUGGCACCUCGAUGUCGGCUCAUCACAUCCUGGGGCUGAAGUAGGUCCCAAGGGUAUGGCUGUUCGCCAUUUAAAGUGGUACGCGAGCUGGGUUUAGAACGUCGUGAGACAGUUCGGUCCCUAUCUGCCGUGGGCGCUGGAGAACUGAGGGGGGCUGCUCCUAGUACGAGAGGACCGGAGUGGACGCAUCACUGGUGUUCGGGUUGUCAUGCCAAUGGCACUGCCCGGUAGCUAAAUGCGGAAGAGAUAAGUGCUGAAAGCAUCUAAGCACGAAACUUGCCCCGAGAUGAGUUCUCCCUGACUCCUUGAGAGUCCUGAAGGAACGUUGAAGACGACGACGUUGAU
Molecule: ribosomal RNA, 1759 nt
Filed under: Escherichia coli
Lineage: Bacteria; Pseudomonadati; Pseudomonadota; Gammaproteobacteria; Enterobacterales; Enterobacteriaceae
Description: partial 23S ribosomal RNA
Rfam family: Bacterial large subunit ribosomal RNA
Source: RNAcentral